This 78-nucleotide transfer RNA is filed under the name Acropora cervicornis. RNAcentral describes it as "tRNA-Thr". It matches the Rfam family "tRNA". From Rfam's summary of the family: Transfer RNA (tRNA) molecules are approximately 80 nucleotides in length. Their secondary structure includes four short double-helical elements and three loops (D, anti-codon, and T loops). Further hydrogen bonds mediate the characteristic L-shaped molecular structure. tRNAs have two regions of fundamental functional importance: the anti-codon, which is responsible for specific mRNA codon recognition, and the 3' end, to which the tRNAs corresponding amino acid is attached (by aminoacyl-tRNA synthetases). tRNAs cope with the degeneracy of the genetic code in two manners: having more than one tRNA (with a specific anti-codon) for a particular amino acid; and 'wobble' base-pairing, i.e. permitting non-standard base-pairing at the 3rd anti-codon position. The record is from RNAcentral. Lineage: Eukaryota; Metazoa; Cnidaria; Anthozoa; Scleractinia; Acroporidae.
GGCGCUGUUGCUCAGCUGGUUAGAGCGCCUGUCUAGUAAACAGGAGGUCAUGGGUUCAACUCCCAUAAGUCAGUGCCU